This 228-nucleotide ribosomal RNA is filed under the name uncultured Actinomyces sp. Its description in RNAcentral is "partial 16S ribosomal RNA". It matches the Rfam family "Bacterial small subunit ribosomal RNA", at positions 284 to 525 of the family's 1533-position model. The record is from RNAcentral. Lineage: Bacteria; Bacillati; Actinomycetota; Actinomycetes; Actinomycetales; Actinomycetaceae.
AACGACCCCAGAGGGUUUCCGGCCACACUGGGACUGACACACGCCGACAGACUCCUACGGGAGGCAGCAGUGGGGAAUAUUGCACAAUGGGCGAAAGCCUGAUGCAGCGAGGCCGCGUGAGGGAUGACGGCCUUCGGGUUGUAAACCUCUUUCAGCAGGGACGAAGCGCAAGUGACGGUACCUGCAGAAGAAGCACCGGCUAACUACGUGCCAGCAGCCGCGGCCGAA